Molecule: long non-coding RNA, 1031 nt
Filed under: Marmota monax (woodchuck)
Lineage: Eukaryota; Metazoa; Chordata; Mammalia; Rodentia; Sciuridae
Source: RNAcentral
UGUAGCAUUUUAAGAAUGGAUAUUGGAUCCAAGUCAUGUGACAAUGGGGAGAUUCCUGAGUGUGAAAUGUCAGAGCUGAAGCAGACUGGAUAGAAUCCAUUUAUGUCUUGGAAGCAUGAUUUCUUUCUAAGGGGCUUUCUCCAAGGAAAAUUUGAGGAUAAUGUUAGUUUUAUCAUAGAGAUUUAAUUGGAGGGGCUUUGACUAAUAAACUGGCAAUAACCAUGUUUCACAUUCAUUCUUUUCUUAAGCACAAAUAAUUAAAACCAGAAAUCUCUGUCUUGGAUAUUAUGGACCAUGUGUGUCUCUAAAUGAAGAAAACACAGAACCUAUGAGAAGGAUACCAAAAACAAUACCCAGAUGUUGUUGUGGUUGUCUGUUCUAAUGGAGGAGAUCCAUUUUGCCUUGAGAAGCAUUCCAGUUAGUUUUUGUAGAUGGAAAUCUAAUCAGCAAGAUAGGGAAGCAUUUUAUGUUAAUGAAGGAUGUUUCUAGUUUGUAGGAAGUCAUGGGCAAGAGAAAAAGAAUUGUAGGUGCAAAGUAUCAUCCUGUUCCCACUAGCUUUUCCAUGGAGCAUGUGCUUUGAUUCUCUGGUUUGUGCAGCAUCUGUAAUAUGUGACUGUAUUUGCCCACAUGUGUUUUUCCUUACAUAUUUCCUAUCCCCAAGUUUUAUUUAUUUUCUCCAUUUAGUUGUCAGCAGCAGGAAGGGCCUGCUGAAGGCUUGGUCAGAGUCAGCCUAGAAAUGCAAAGGGCCUAUGAACUAAAGGGAAAGAGGAAGUUUUCAUGUCCUAGCUAUUCAAGUGACCCUAGACUAAUAAUUCCCUGACUUCCCUGCAGCAGAGGUUGAUUGCAGUACAAAUACAUUCAUAUUUUUUAAAAAAAUCACAAAAUAUUACUAUGUUUUGUAUGCUCAAUACUCUGUAGCUUUGCUCAUUUAGCUGAAUUUUUUAAAUGUGGUUUUAAAACCUAUCUUCUUAUUUUUAAUCAUUAUUUAAUCCUAAAAAGUGUUUUAUUUAAUUGAGUGCUCUUGGUUUUGG